This 883-nucleotide ribosomal RNA is filed under the name Escherichia coli. RNAcentral's name for it is "bacterial LSU rRNA". It matches the Rfam family "Bacterial large subunit ribosomal RNA", at positions 1 to 917 of the family's 2925-position model. The record is from RNAcentral. Lineage: Bacteria; Pseudomonadati; Pseudomonadota; Gammaproteobacteria; Enterobacterales; Enterobacteriaceae.
GGGUUGUGAGGUUAAGCGACUAAGCGUACACGGUGGAUGCCCUGGCAGUCAGAGGCGAUGAAGGACGUGCUAAUCUGCGAUAAGCGUCGGUAAGGUGAUAUGAACCGUUAUAACCGGCGAUUUCCGAAUGGGGAAACCCAGUGUGAUUCGUCACACUAUCAUUAACUGAAUCCAUAGGUUAAUGAGGCGAACCGGGGGAACUGAAACAUCUAAGUACCCCGAGGAAAAGAAAUCAACCGAGAUUCCCCCAGUAGCGGCGAGCGAACGGGGAGGAGCCCAGAGCCUGAAUCAGUGUGUGUGUUAGUGGAAGCGUCUGGAAAGGCGCGCGAUACAGGGUGACAGCCCCGUACACAAAAAUACACAUAUUGUGAGCUCGAUGAGUAGGGCGGGACACGUGGUAUCCUGUCUGAAUAUGGGGGGACCAUCCUCCAAGGCUAAAUACUCCUGACUGACCGAUAGUGAACCAGUACCGUGAGGGAAAGGCGAAAAGAACCCCGGCGAGGGGAGUGAAAAAGAACCUGAAACCGUGUACGUACAAGCAGUGGGAGCACGCUUAGGCGUGUGACUGCGUACCUUUUGUAUAAUGGGUCAGCGACUUAUAUUCUGUAGCAAGGUUAACCGAAUAGGGGAGCCGAAGGGAAACCGAGUCUUAACUGGGCGUUAAGUUGCAGGGUAUAGACCCGAAACCCGGUGAUCUAGCCAUGGGCAGGUUGAAGGUUGGGUAACACUAACUGGAGGACCGAACCGACUAAUGUUGAAAAAUUAGCGGAUGACUUGUGGCUGGGGGUGAAAGGCCAAUCAAACCGGGAGAUAGCUGGUUCUCCCCGAAAGCUAUUUAGGUAGCGCCUCGUGAAUUCAUCUCCGGGGGUAGAGCACUGUUUCG